This 497-nucleotide ribosomal RNA is filed under the name uncultured bacterium. RNAcentral describes it as "partial 16S ribosomal RNA". It matches the Rfam family "Bacterial small subunit ribosomal RNA", at positions 28 to 507 of the family's 1533-position model. The record is from RNAcentral.
GAUGAACGCUGGCGGCGUGCCUAAUACAUGCAAGUCGAGCGAACGGACGAGAAGCUUGCUUCUCUGAUGUUAGCGGCGGACGGGUGAGUAACACGUGUAUAACCUACCUAUAAGACUGGGAUAACUUCGGGAAACCGGAGCUAAUACCGGAUAAUCUUUUGCACCGCAUUGUUCAAAAGUGAAAGACGGUCUUGCUGUCACUUAUAGAUGGAUCCGCGCUGCAUUAGCUAGUUGGUAAGGUAACGGCUUACCAAGGCAACGAUGCAUAGCCGACCUGAGAGAGUGAUCGGCCACACUGGAACUGAGACAGGGUCCAGACUCCUACGAGAGGCAGCAGUAGGGAAUGUUCCGCAAUGGGCGAGAGCCUGACGGAGCGGCGCCGCGUGAGUGGUGAAGGUCUUCGGAUCGUAAAACUCUGUUAUUAGGGAAGAACAUAUGUGUAAGUAACUGUGCACAUCUUGACGGUACCUAAUCAGAAAGCCACGGCUAACUACGUG